GACGAACGCUGGCGGCGUGCUUAACACAUGCAAGUCGAACGGAAAGGCCCUGCUUUUGUGGGGUGCUCGAGUGGCGAACGGGUGAGUAACACGUGAGUAACCUGCCCUUGACUUUGGGAUAACUUCAGGAAACUGGGGCUAAUACCGGAUAGGAGCUCCUGCUGCAUGGUGGGGGUUGGAAAGUUUCGGCGGUUGGGGAUGGACUCGCGGCUUAUCAGCUUGUUGGUGGGGUAGUGGCUUACCAAGGCUUUGACGGGUAGCCGGCCUGAGAGGGUGACCGGCCACAUUGGGACUGAGAUACGGCCCAGACUCCUACGGGAGGCAGCAGUGGGGAAUAUUGCACAAUGGGCGGAAGCCUGAUGCAGCAACGCCGCGUGCGGGAUGACGGCCUUCGGGUUGUAAACCGCUUCCGCCUGUGACGAAGCGUGAGUGACGGUAAUGGGUAAAGAAGCACCGGCUAACUACGUGCCAGCAGCCGCGGUGAUACGUAGGGUGCGAGCGUUGUCCGGAUUUAUUGGGCGUAAAGGGCUCGUAGGUGGUUGAUCGCGUCGGAAGUGUAAUCUUGGGGCUUAACCCUGAGCGUGCUUUCGAUACGGGUUGACUUGAGGAAGGUAGGGGAGAAUGGAAUUCCUGGUGGAGCGGUGGAAUGCGCAGAUAUCAGGAGGAACACCAGUGGCGAAGGCGGUUCUCUGGGCCUUUCCUGACGCUGAGGAGCGAAAGCGUGGGGAGCGAACAGGCUUAGAUACCCUGGUAGUCCACGCUGUAAACGGUGGGUACUAGGUGUGGGGUCCAUUCCACGGGUUCCGUGCCGUAGCUAACGCUUUAAGUACCCCGCCUGGGGAGUACGGCCGCAAGGCUAAAACUCAAAGGAAUUGACGGGGCCCCGCACAAGCGGCGGAGCAUGCGGAUUAAUUCGAUGCAACGCGUAGAACCUUACCUGGGUUUGACAUGGAUCGGGAGCGCUCAGAGAUGGGUGUGCCUCUUUUGGGGUCGGUUCACAGGUGGUGCAUGGCUGUCGUCAGCUCGUGUCGUGAGAUGUUGGGUUAAGUCCCGCAACGAGCGCAACCCUUGUUCACUGUUGCCAGCACGUUAUGGUGGGGACUCAGUGGAGACCGCCGGGGUCAACUCGGAGGAAGGUGGGGAUGACGUCAAGUCAUCAUGCCCCUUGUGUCCAGGGCUUCACGCAUGCUACAAUGGCUGGUACAGAGAGUGGCGAGCCUGUGAGGGUGAGCGAAUCUCGGAAAGCCGGUCUCAGUUCGGAUUGGGGUCUGCAACUCGACCUCAUGAAGUCGGAGUCGCUAGUAAUCGCAGAUCAGCAACGCUGCGGUGAAUACGUUCCCGGGGCU
This 1346-nucleotide ribosomal RNA is filed under the name uncultured bacterium. RNAcentral describes it as "bacterial SSU rRNA". It matches the Rfam family "Bacterial small subunit ribosomal RNA", at positions 28 to 1381 of the family's 1533-position model. The record is from RNAcentral.